Molecule: long non-coding RNA, 235 nt
Filed under: Mytilus galloprovincialis (Mediterranean mussel)
Lineage: Eukaryota; Metazoa; Mollusca; Bivalvia; Mytilida; Mytilidae
Source: RNAcentral
CACGGUUUGGAUUUCAGCGUAUUUACAUGCAUUUUCAUGUCUUUCACUUGUUAUAGCGUCUUUCUGUAGGUUUUUUGAGUGAGCAUCUUUAUUAUCUGUUUUACAUCUGGACAAGAGUGGUUUCUCUUCGUCAUUUGAAUGUUCAAUUAUUGAUUGAUAUUUGUGAUUUUGGUUAUCUUGUUUUGGUGUACAGCUAUAACGCACUCCAAUUGACGAAACUUCGAAUAUUUGUAAC